CUUCCUCAACCAAUCCACUCAGGAUGUGGACUUCAGACUCUCCCCCCGACUCCACACUCUCCAGAGAGGAUGCAGUCCUUCAGCCCCUUCUCCAAAACCCUGCUGAGAAAUGGUUGGCCUCAGAAUAGGAAUUCAGAAAUCUCUCUGCCUGCCUCUUUGCCACUAUGAAAACAGACACUGGUUCCCCAAGCCCCUGAUUAAGAAAGAAGCUGGAAGAACAGGCAGAAGUGUUUUCAUACUGUCCAACCCUGUCCUAUAUGGGAAAGAAAACCUGUGAGAUAGAGUCCUAGCAUAUACAGGAGAAGAAAAUGAAGAGAUUUCCUCCAAGUGGAUUCAUAAUAAAUGUGUUUGGGGAAAUGGAGAUUUCAUCUUGGGGGAGGAGAUUCACCACAAAUGUCCUAGUGGAGAAAGUAUCCAGUUUUCACCAUCAGGUCUUUAUUCCUAAAUAGUUUCUCUCUUGAUUUUAAAUUAAGAAAAUAUAUGGAACUAGUUAUUCCAA
Phacochoerus africanus (Common warthog) is the source of this 499-nucleotide long non-coding RNA. RefSeq lists it as uncharacterized. The transcript is spliced from 3 exons. Lineage: Eukaryota; Metazoa; Chordata; Mammalia; Artiodactyla; Suidae. The record is from RefSeq and is a predicted model, not a curated record.